This 154-nucleotide unclassified non-coding RNA is filed under the name uncultured fungus. RNAcentral's name for it is "sequence contains ITS1". Lineage: Eukaryota; Fungi. The record is from RNAcentral.
GUAUUAGUUAUAAAUUGACUGUCAAACCCACAAGCGUUGAUGUGCAGCCAGAGCUGCAUCGCACGGCGAAGCUUCGCCAGCGCUGAUAUGAUAAACUACCUCGCGGUAGUUCAUCGGAUUUGUAAUGAUCCUUCCGCAGGUUCACCUACGGAAA